RNAcentral lists this unclassified non-coding RNA (197 nucleotides) under uncultured Sebacina. Its description in RNAcentral is "sequence contains ITS2". Lineage: Eukaryota; Fungi; Basidiomycota; Agaricomycetes; Sebacinales; Sebacinaceae. The record is from RNAcentral.
GUACUCUCACACUCCCAAUCUUUGGAUGGGGAGCGGUGGACUUGGGUGUUGCUGCUUACUGUGGCUCACCUUAAAUGGAUUAGUGCACCUCUUGGUUGGACAUAGUACGGCGUGAUAAUGUCUUCGCCGGCACCUCACUAGAGGGUGGCUGAUCAGGAGCUCUGUGCUCUCCAACUGUCUUCAGACAACAACUGACA